RNAcentral lists this ribosomal RNA (253 nucleotides) under uncultured bacterium. Its description in RNAcentral is "partial 16S ribosomal RNA". It matches the Rfam family "Bacterial small subunit ribosomal RNA", at positions 524 to 776 of the family's 1533-position model. The record is from RNAcentral.
UACGUAGGGUGCGAGCGUUGUCCGGAAUUAUUGGGCGUAAAGCGCGUGUAGGCGGUCCGGUAAGUCCGCUGUGAAAGUCGGGGGCUCAACCCUCGGAUGCCGGUGGAUACUGUCGGGCUUGAGUACGGAAGAGGCGAGUGGAAUUCCUGGUGUAGCGGUGAAAUGCGCAGAUAUCAGGAGGAACACCAAUUGCGAAGGCAGCUCGCUGGGACGUUACUGACGCUGAGACGCGAAAGCGUGGGGAGCAAACAGG